RNAcentral lists this ribosomal RNA (427 nucleotides) under uncultured bacterium. RNAcentral's name for it is "bacterial SSU rRNA". It matches the Rfam family "Bacterial small subunit ribosomal RNA", at positions 355 to 774 of the family's 1533-position model. The record is from RNAcentral.
UGGGGAAUUUUGGACAAUGGGCGCAAGCCUGAUCCAGCAAUGCCGCGUGCAGGAUGAAGGCCUUCGGGUUGUAAACUGCUUUUGUACGGAGCGAAAAGGUCUGCCCUAAUACGGUGGGCUCAUGACGGUACCGUAAGAAUAAGCACCGGCUAACUACGUGCCAGCAGCCGCGGUAAUACGUAGGGUGCGAGCGUUAAUCGGAAUUACUGGGCGUAAAGCGUGCGCAGGCGGUUAUAUAAGACAGAGGUGAAAUCCCCGGGCUCAACCUGGGAACUGCCUUUGUGACUGCAUAGCUAGAGUACGGUAGAGGGGGAUGGAAUUCCGCGUGUAGCAGCGAAAUGCGUAGAUAUGCGGAGGAACACCGAUGGCGAAGGCAAUCCCCUGGACCUGUACUGACGCUCAUGCACGAAAGCGUGGGGAGCAAACA